GAGUUGUUGCUGGGCCCUGCAUAUGGGGGGAGGGGGACACUCUGUUUACACAUCCACUCACACCUGUGCACCCUCUGUAGUUCUAUGGCCUGGGUGGGCUCUGUCCCCCUGCUGUGGUUCUGCGUCUUUACACACACACUACAACAAAGUCUCAUGGAAUGUGUGUCGCGUUUUUAACGCAAUGAAAUACAACUUUCAGCAACGGAUCUCUUGGCUCUCGCAUCGAUGAAGAACGCACCGAAAUGCGAUAAGUAAUGUGAAUUGCAGAAUUCAGUGAAUCAUCGAAUCUUUGAACGCACCUUGCGCCCUUUGGCUAUUCCGAAAGGCAUGCCUGUUUGAGUAUCAUGAACACCUCAACUCUCAUGGCUUGCCGUGAUGAGCUUGGACUUUGGGGGUCUUGUUGGCCUGUGGGCCACCUCCUCUUAAAUGAAUUAUCUUGCCGGUGUUUGGUGGCGUCACAGGUGUGAUAACUAUCUACGCUUGUGGUUUUCCAUCAGGUAACCUUCACUGAUGGAGGUUCACUGGGGCUUAUAAAUGUCUCUCCUUGGUGAGGACAGAUUUUGACCAUUUGAUCUCAAAUCACGUAUGACUACCCGCUGAACGGGUGCAUAUCAA
Molecule: ribosomal RNA, 615 nt
Filed under: Tomentella sp. 8 DL-2015
Lineage: Eukaryota; Fungi; Basidiomycota; Agaricomycetes; Thelephorales; Thelephoraceae
Description: eukaryotic LSU rRNA
Rfam family: 5.8S ribosomal RNA (bases 191-345)
Source: RNAcentral